ACUCACUGGCAGCCUCUAGCGGGACUAGAUAUUUAUUCAUUGUUUAAGACCCAUGCGUUAUAUUUGCCAUGCAUCCAAUGACCCUGUUUUACUGCCUAGGCAUUUUCUUUGGCACGAUCUUCUUUCUUUUACCCAUCAUCAUGGCUGGUUGGAUAAUUGUAAAGCACAAACAAGGCAAAACUACAGAUGAAAAAUGUAAGGAGAGUAUCCAUUUACACCCUCAAGAAGACAGCGGUGUAAGUCCUCAAACUGUGCAAACAAAUCAGGAAAACAGCAGGUACCUAAUGUACAUAUUGAAUUCAUAAUGUUGUCAGUAACUCAGAGCGAAAGUGAGAACAGGAUGUGCCUAA
Long non-coding RNA from Leopardus geoffroyi (Geoffroy's cat), 350 nucleotides. RefSeq lists it as uncharacterized. NCBI's taxonomy places the organism in Eukaryota, Metazoa, Chordata, Mammalia, Carnivora, Felidae. The transcript has 2 exons. The record is from RefSeq and is a predicted model, not a curated record.